RNAcentral lists this ribosomal RNA (454 nucleotides) under Paurocephala sp. 22 LS-2020. RNAcentral describes it as "partial large subunit ribosomal RNA". The stretch from base 300 to 454 matches the Rfam family "Bacterial large subunit ribosomal RNA", at positions 2473 to 2629 of the family's 2925-position model. The record is from RNAcentral. Lineage: Eukaryota; Metazoa; Arthropoda; Insecta; Hemiptera; Liviidae.
UAGCUGCAGUAUUUUAACUGUACAAAGGUAGCAUAAUCAUUAGUUUUUUAAUUGAAAACUAGUAUGAAAGGUUUGACGUAAAUAAAACUUUUUUUAUUUUAAUUUUAUUGAAUUUAGAUUUUAAGUAAAAAAACUUAAUUUUUUAAAAGUGACGAGAAGACCCUAUAGAAUUUAAGAAGUAAUCAUGAAGUUAAUUAUUUUUUAUUGGGGUGAUAAGAAAAUAAACUUUUCAUUUAUUUUUACAAUUUUUAUGUUUUAAAGAUCUUAAUUUUUAGAUAAUUAGCAUAAAUUACCUUAGGGAUAACAGCAUAAUUUUUUUUAAAAGAUCAAAUUAAUAAAAAAGAUUAUGACCUCGAUGUUGAAUUAAGAUAGUAUUUUGGGGUAGAUUUUAAAAUAUUUAGUCUGUUCGACUUUUAAAUUUUACAUGAUUUGAGUUCAAACCGGUGUGAGCCAG